GUUAAAAAUCUGAAAAAUGUCAUUGUUUUUAAUGUCGUAUAAAAAUCAACAAAAAAAUGAACUAGCAAAAUUUACCAACAUGGAGUUAUGUUCGGUGUAGUAUUAUACUUUUAUAAAAUUGUAUAUUUGAUAGGAUAAACUAGACAAAACAAUAAAAAUUUGGAUAAUAACACAAAGAAAUUAUUGUGAAACCUCAUUUUACACGGAACUUUGCUCUCUUCAACAACAACAGAACUGACGAUUGGUUUGUAAAUGAGACAGAGUUCCCGCCGGAUACAAAAUCAUUACCGGCAAAGGUUCCAGAGUUUGCAUUACCCAUGGAACAUAAGAAAUUCCCUCUCAUUAAAUACAUUGCCAAUGGAGAGGAAAUAGCUCAGACCAGAAUCCGGUGGUGUCUUCAGCCGAAUGAACUUGGUUAAAUCCAAAUUAGAAAUGGCAUGAAUUUAAGCACGCUGAACUCAAUUUUAACAGUCAGAUACGGACUUAAUCGUAGCACCAAAUGCUGCUAUGAUUACAUUUUACCCCAAAAAUUGUUGCGUGCAGUGAGCAACCGAUCUUAUUAUCCUGACGAGGAAGAAGUAAAUUUAAAUGGGAUAUUAAGUGAAAUAUAAAAAUAAAAAAAUUAUUUUUAAGCUCGUAAUGAC
Molecule: long non-coding RNA, 644 nt
Organism: Drosophila willistoni
Lineage: Eukaryota; Metazoa; Arthropoda; Insecta; Diptera; Drosophilidae
Exons: 2
Source: RefSeq, a predicted model, not a curated record